RNAcentral lists this ribosomal RNA (253 nucleotides) under uncultured bacterium. RNAcentral's name for it is "partial 16S ribosomal RNA". It matches the Rfam family "Bacterial small subunit ribosomal RNA", at positions 524 to 776 of the family's 1533-position model. The record is from RNAcentral.
UACAGAGGGGGCAAGCGUUGUUCGGAAUUACUGGGCGUAAAGGGCGCGUAGGCGGCCUGCUAAGUCGAACGUGAAAUCCCUAGGCUCAACCUAGGAACUGCGUCCGAUACUGGCAGGCUUGAAUCCGGGAGAGGGAUGCGGAAUUCCAGGUGUAGCGGUGAAAUGCGUAGAUAUCUGGAGGAACACCGGUGGCGAAGGCGGCAUCCUGGACCGGCAUUGACGCUGAGGCGCGAAAGCGAGGGGAGCAAACGGG